AAUUAUAUGCUUGUCUUAAAGAUUAAGCCAUGCAAGUGCAAGUACGGCCCUUCAUUUAUGGGGGCGAGACUGCGGACGGCUCAUUAAAUCAGUUAUGAUUCCCAGGAGCCGGCGAAAUCUACUUGGAUAACUGUGGCAAUUCUAGAGCUAAUACAUGCAACUGAAGCUUCGCCCGUGGCUUCUGUUACGGGAGGAGCGCACUUGUUAGCCUCAAACCAAUCCGGCGUGGGUGGUCAAACACCUCGCUGGUCUCACUGGUGAACUCUGGACAAUCUUGCCGAUCGCAGGGCCUUCGUGCCGGCGACAUAUCUUUCAAGUGUCUGACCUAUCACACUAGAUGGUUUGCGCUCUGCGCACCAUGGUGACAACGGGUGACGGGGAAUCAGGGUUCGAUUCCGGAGAGGGAGCAUGAGAAACGGCUGCCACAUCCAAGGAAGGCAGCAGGCACGCAACUUACCCAAUGCCGAGACGGCGAGGUAGUGACGAAAAAUAACAAUACGGGACUCUCUUUACGAGGUCCCGAAAUUGAAAUGAGUACACUCUAAAUCCUUUAACGAGGAUC
Molecule: ribosomal RNA, 562 nt
Filed under: Parvicardium scabrum
Lineage: Eukaryota; Metazoa; Mollusca; Bivalvia; Cardiida; Cardiidae
Description: SSU rRNA
Rfam family: Eukaryotic small subunit ribosomal RNA
Source: RNAcentral